Molecule: ribosomal RNA, 468 nt
Filed under: uncultured bacterium
Lineage: Bacteria
Description: partial 16S ribosomal RNA
Rfam family: Bacterial small subunit ribosomal RNA
Source: RNAcentral
GAUGAACGCUGGCGGCGUGCUUAACACAUGCAAGUCGAACGGAAAGGCCCAAGCUUGCUUGGGUACUCGAGUGGCGAACGGGUGAGUAACACGUGGGUGAUCUGCCCUGCACUUCGGGAUAAGCCUGGGAAACUGGGUCUAAUACCGGAUAGGACGAUGGUUUGGAUGCCAUUGUGGAAAGUUUUUUCGUUGUGGGAUGAGCUCGCGGCCUAUCAGCUUGUUGGUGGGGUAAUGGCCUACCAAGGCGUCGACGGGUAGCCGGCCUGAGAGGGUGGACGGCCACACUAGGACUGAGAGAGGGCCCAGAGUCCGACGGGAGGCAGCAGUGGGGAAUAUUUCACAAUGGGCGCAAGCCUGAGGCAGCAACGCCGCGUGGGGGAUGACGGCCUUCGGGUUGGAAACUCCUUUCGCUAAGGAAGAAGCGUUGUUGUGACGGUACCUGGAGAAGAAGCACCGGCUAACUACGUG